CGCGUGCUCCUUAGAUCUUGAAUUGGUGCUUUGUUUUAUUCUUGUGCGAUGCAGCUCUUUGCCCGCCGGCCGGUCCUCAUUUCGAUGAGGAGCUGGUGGGUGUGGUGAGGAGGUUGUUUUCGUGCAUGAGUUUAGAGGCACAGCAGCUUUCCUGGCUGUUUUAUCGAUUCAAAUUGAGUCAUUGGCGCGCUAGAGCAACAACCUGUCCUGCAUGGGCAUG
This 220-nucleotide small nucleolar RNA is filed under the name Linderina pennispora. RNAcentral describes it as "Small nucleolar RNA SNORA53". It matches the Rfam family "Small nucleolar RNA SNORA53", at positions 1 to 177 of the family's 248-position model. Rfam says of the family: The snoRNA ACA53 belongs to the H/ACA family of pseudouridylation guide snoRNAs. Lineage: Eukaryota; Fungi; Kickxellomycota; Kickxellomycetes; Kickxellales; Kickxellaceae. The record is from Rfam by way of RNAcentral.